UAGCAGAUAGCUUUUUUAAGAUGUCACGAUUAUUUUGGCUCCCUUGCCGGGAAAUCGAAUAGAUUCCUCCGCUUUCUCCACCAUGGUACAACCCACUGAAGCAGAGAUUCAAACCAGGUUGCAAACCACGAUGCACUCCCAUGAAGAGAAGCUUAAUCAACUUAGCGACCAGAUGAAAGAUUUAACAGGCUCGGUUCGUGCUUUGCAGACUCUAAUGACUGAUCUACCCAAGUAGAUGGAGGCAAAGAUGGAGAAAAUGAAAGCAAACAUCCAACCCUCGACUCCCUCACAAUCCAAACCGACGUCUGGAAGUACAGGGUCAGUUAUUUGAAACCAUACCCUAAUCUCCACCUCCGGCACCAAAGAAAACCCCACCAUCGUCACCCCAUCGCAACCCCCACCCCAGAAGAUUGAUGAAUCGCUCUUUUCUCUCCCCAAGGUCAAGCUUCCUACCUGUAACGGGAUAGAUGCUCGUGGCUGGGUAAGCAAAGAUGAGUUGUAUUUCCAAGUUCAUAAAACCCCCACGAAUCAAAAGCUCGGUUUGUCCCAGAUGUGUAUGGAUGAAUCUGUGUUACAUUGGUUCACUAACCUUUUAAUCCGACACCCGGAUACUACAUGGGAGCAAUUUCGAUUGAAGCUCUUGAAUAUAUUCAGUGGCACCAAGUAUUGUAAGGCUAAUGAGGCUUUGGGAUCUCUCUUUCAAGAAUGCAACGUUGAAGAAUAUAUCGUGGAUUUCGAGGCUCUAUCGGCACUUAUACCCGACCAGUCAGAAGUACAAUCCGUUGGAUGGUUUUUGAGAGGGCUGCAAAUAGAAAUCAGAAACUGCGUUCGAACUCUCAGCCCUUCAACUUGCGAUCAAGCAAUGGAGUAUUUCCCGGAACGUCGAAGUAGCACUAGGAGGACAACCGGAGAAACCUAAUUUCCGUCGCAACUCAGGUACUUCAGUGGACCGUGGCAAGGUGAAGGUGUGACCGUACACAUCCUUGGUUUUCAACUGAUUUGAUCUUGGGAGAUUAUGAUUUUAAAUAAUCUUUUGAAAAAAAAAUAGUUUUGUAACACUUAUAUUAGAAAAAGGGUUGUUUUGAAAAGUUUUAAAUUUAUUGAAUUUUUCGGAUGUUACACUUUUAAAUAAAUACAAGCAUGUCUUUGCUUGGACUCCGACGAACAUGGUAUGAGUAGAUAGGGAGGUCAUAGAGCACAAGCUCAUGAUCAAACCGGGUGCCAAGGAAAUUAAACAAAAAAAUGAGUUCAAGAGGGGAGACAGGAACAUGCCAAUCAACACUGAGGUCGUCAACCUAACCAAAGAAGGAAUACUCCGGGAGGCAAUCUUCCCGACCUGGAUCGCAAACCCUAUCAUGGUUAAAAAGCACGAUGGCACGUGGCGCAUGUGCAUCGAUUACUCUGAUCUAAACAAAUCAUGCCCUAAAGACUGCUACCCCUACCAAAAAUCGAUUUAAAAGUGAAUCCCUAUAGGGUUUCAGACUAAAAUGCUUUCUCGAUGCGUAAUAGGGGUACCACCAGAUCUUGAUGCGCAAAGAAGAAGAAGAGAAGACAACCUUUUACAUGGACCCUGGGGCUUUCUACUACACCAAAAUUCUGUUCGGCCUGAAGAACGCAGGUGCGACCUACUAGCGCCUCGUCGACUCCAUCUUUGCCAUGGAAAUUGAAAGGAACAUUGAAGUAUACAUCGAAGAAAUGGUCAUAAAAAGCCCAUAUGACAGGAGAUUACUGAAAUACGUGGAAGAAACAUUCAAGACAUUGGAAACGUUCAAGAUGAAGUUAAACCUGGGGAAGUGUACCUUUCGUGUCGAGGAAGGCCAAUUCCUGAGAUACUAUGUCACCACUAAAGGAACACAACCCAGCUCAACCAAGCUGGACGAGUUGAUGGAAGUACCAUCCCCCCACACUCUAAGAGAAACUAAAGGGUUGAAUGGUAAACUGACCGCUCUAAGCCGUUUCAUUUCCAAGUUGUCAGAGAAAGCCAUGCCACUUUUCCAUACUCUAUAGGGGUGCAUUGAAAAGAACAACUUCCAGUAGACGCCGGCAGCAUAAACAACGCUCCAACAAAUUAAGGAAGCCCUACACAAAUUACCCACACUGGUUAGCCCCGUUCCAGGUGAAAUGCUAUAGGUAUACUUCUCAACAUCAAAUGAGGCCAUAUCCUCGAUAUUGGUAGUAGAAAUUGAAGGAAGGUAAGCAUCAGUCUACUUUGUCAGUCGAGCCUUACAGGUCCCAGAGACCAACUACCAUAUCUUUGAAAAACUGGUGAUCUUACUCAUCUAUGCAUCACGACACUUGCUACGCUACUUCCAAGCACAUAAGAUAGAGGUAUAAACAAAUUGGCCGCUCAAACCAGAAACGUCCUGACGCCUGGUGAAAUGGGCAAUCGAGAUGGGGGAACAUGACAUUAGGUACCGCCCACGUACCAUCAUCAAAGGGAAAGCAUUGGCAUAUUUUCUCCUCAAGUUCCCAAUAAAAGUGAAAGUAGGCGCUCAAAAGAAAGAGUUACCAGGCCCAAGUUGGCCAAAGGAUGGCCAGGGAUGGACCCUAUGUACCAAUGGGGCAUCUAGAAAAUAAGGAUCGGGAGCGGGCCUGAUCCUAACAAGCCUAAAGAGGGAAGAGAUUACCUACGCCCUCUACUUCGACUUCCAUACCUCUAAAAAUGAGGCCGAGUACGAAGCCUUGCUUGUCGGCCUACGACUCUACGACUGGCAAGACAGAUGGGCGCAGACACGAUAACAGCCGUGACGAACUUGAGGUUAGAAACUAACCAUAAUAGAGAGUUUGAAGCAAGAGACAAGUGAAUGGAGAAGUACCUAAAGGCCGUUUAAAGACUCGUCGAUCCCCUCAAAGAGUUCACCAUCAAGCAAAUUCCAAGAUGGGAGAACAGAAGAGCGGACGCCCUAGCAUCAAAAUGCUUCGACCACCUGUCCAAGAAGGUUUGGGUGGAGGUACUCAAGGAAUGGAGCAUAGAUGAGCGAUAGGUAAACACUUUGACACCAGCAUGACACACCUGGAUGACACCAAUCAUAUACAAUCAUAGAAGCUAGAAGAGUAAAAAUUAAGAAUCCAUGAAGAAGCUAGAAGAGUAAAAAUUAAGGCACCAUUGUAUACAAUCAUAGAAGGAUUACUAUACCGAAAAAGGUUCAUGACGUCGUGGCUAAAAUGCAUAGAUGAAGCCAGGGGAAAAGAAGCACUUCAAGAGGGGAAAAGAAGCACUUCAAGAGGCAUAUGCAGGCCCAGAUGGCGCGCAUGAUGGAGCAACGACCCUCACAGGGAAGAUACUUCGGAUGGGCAUCUACUGGCCAACCAUACAUCAAAACGCGACAGAAGCAAUGCGAAGAUGUGUGGAAUGCCAAACUUACUCUCCGGUUUAAGGGGUUCCCUAGGCACCCCUGACGAGAAUUUCUAGUCCAUGGCCUUUCUACCAGUGGGGAAUCGAUAUCGUCAGACCAUUCCCAGAUACCCUCGGAAAAUUGAAGUUCCUAGUAGUUGUGGUUGACUACUUCACCAAGUGGAUAGAGUCCGAGCCAUUAAUGUGCAUAUCCAGAAGACAGACGAUCAAAUUCCUAUGGAAGAGAAUAAUGACAAGGUGUGGAACACCUAGGGUACUCCUCAGUGACAAUGGGUUACAGUUUGCUAAAAACCCAUUUCAAAGUUUGUGUGCCGAGAAAGGGAUUGAGCAACGUUGCACAUCAGUAGCACAUCCCCAGGCCAACGGCCAGACCAAAGUAUCCAACAGAACAUUCGUAAACGGAAUCAAGAAAUGCCUAGGGAGAGCUAAAGACAAUUGGGUAAAAAAAACAACCAGGAGUAGGUCAUAUAGAACAACGCCAAGAACGAGCAUGAAGGAAACGCCCUUUAGCCUAACUUACGGCACAUAAGCAAUGUUGCCGAAGAAGAACACAAUGAUAAAGACAUGAGGGUAAACUUGGACCUCAUUAAGUAAAGGCGUGAGUGCUCAAACGUUUGCCAAGCGACCUACAAAGAUGUCGUGGAAAGAUACUACAACUAGAGAGUCAAAGAAAAAGCUUUCAAGAUAGGGGAUUAUGUCCUAAGGCGAAACGAGGCAAGCCAUAACCACUCAUAAGGAAAGCUAGGCCCUACAUGGAAAGGACCAUACAAGGUCAUCAAGGCUCACCGCGACAGCGCAUACUCACUCGAAGCAAUGGAAGGAAUGAAAAUCCCAAGAACAUGGAAUGCCAGGAACCUAAGGAAGUUUCAUUUCUAAAAGAAGAAAUUCAUCACCUGGACUGAUCACCCGGGCUGACACUCAAUAUCUAAG
Molecule: long non-coding RNA, 4285 nt
Organism: Lactuca sativa (garden lettuce)
Lineage: Eukaryota; Viridiplantae; Streptophyta; Magnoliopsida; Asterales; Asteraceae
Source: RefSeq, a predicted model, not a curated record